This 71-nucleotide transfer RNA is filed under the name Candidatus Rehaiarchaeum fermentans. RNAcentral's name for it is "tRNA-Gly". It matches the Rfam family "tRNA". From Rfam's summary of the family: Transfer RNA (tRNA) molecules are approximately 80 nucleotides in length. The record is from RNAcentral. Lineage: Archaea; Nanobdellati; Candidatus Parvarchaeota.
GCGGCAGUAGUCUAAUGGCAGGAUAUUGGCCUUCCAAGCCAAAGAUACGGGUUCAAAUCCCGUCUGCCGCA